This 428-nucleotide ribosomal RNA is filed under the name uncultured bacterium. RNAcentral describes it as "bacterial SSU rRNA". It matches the Rfam family "Bacterial small subunit ribosomal RNA", at positions 355 to 796 of the family's 1533-position model. The record is from RNAcentral.
UGGGGAAUAUUGCACAAUGGGCGCAAGCCUGAUGCAGCAACGCCGCGUGAGGGACGACGGCCUUCGGGUUGUAAACCUCUUUUAGUAGGGAAGAAGCGAAAGUGACGGUACCUGCAGAAAAAGCACCGGCUAACUACGUGCCAGCAGCCGCGGUAAUACGUAGGGUGCAAGCGUUAUCCGGAAUUAUUGGGCGUAAAGAGCUCGUAGGCGGUUUGUCGCGUCUGCUGUGAAAACUGGAGGCUCAACCUCCAGCCUGCAGUGGGUACGGGCAGACUAGAGUGCGGUAGGGGAGAUUGGAAUUCCUGGUGUAGCGGUGGAAUGCGCAGAUAUCAGGAGGAACACCGAUGGCGAAGGCAGAUCUCUGGGCCGUAACUGACGCUGAGGAGCGAAAGCAUGGGGAGCGAACAGGAUUAGAUACCCCGUAGUCC